CAGGGAGGUGGUUUGAGAUACAUGAGCAGUUUGAGGGCAGAGGGGGCUGGAUUAGCUAAACUUCAUAAUCAAGGUGGUAUGUGGAACUGAGACUAGAUCAGGUUGCCAUGACAACAUGAGCAGGAAAAAAUCCUGAGCAGAGGCUGAGGGGAGGAAGUAGGGCAUAAGAUAUGGAGGAUGGUUAAUGAAGUGUAAGUGUGGGGACAUAGUGUCUCUGCCACACCACUGCAUGAUGUCAGGGGACAGUGUCAAGCUGUCCUGGAUAGAGGGGGGCAAAGUCAGAAGGCAGCAGAGGGCUGAGGAUGCAGCUGAUUCAAGAUCUAAAUCUCUCUCUAAAAAAUGUUUGGUUUUUUUUCCCAGGACUCAGAUUCAUAGGCCUAGUCUUCAAUUUUUAAUUAUUUUUUUUACACUUCUUGAGUGCUGCAGUGUACUUUGUUAAUUGCCUAAUGUAUCAAAACCACACAUAUAGAAAGAAUUAGUUCGAAUUUCCAUGGCCACCUCUCUGCUCCCAGCUGCAUCCACCAGUUCAUGCAUGCUGACAAGGCACAGGAACAGGGAUUCCCCAUCACCUCACACAGAGCUGGUGUAUCAGCACCCUCUGCAGCUGUGUGCUGUGUGAGUGCUCACCGUGUGCUGGUUGUCAGCUUGCGCAUCCAGAGGGCUGCAGAACCUGGAGCAAGCACCAUCAGGAUGUGGAGUCACUGCAGUAUGGUUGGAGAGAGGGAAAAUGUUCAGUAUUCAGCUCAGGAUCAGGAGACCUGGCUGGAGUUCCACAUCACCAGCCCUGGAGAAGCAAGCUCUGAUCUGGGUGACUGGAUUGUCACCUCUAACCCAUCAGAGGCUGUCAGGGAGAAGAGGCUGAAGAAACAUUGCAGAAAGGUCAUUGACUUUCAUGAGGACAGAUUAGGCACUGGAUACAGAGAGUUAAAUAUUUUUUCCAGGAAACCUCAUCCUCCCUCAAUCUGCUGUCCACUGAAACCCUUAAAAAACCAAUUCAGUUUCUACCAGAGAAAUAACUACUUGUAUGAAGACUUAAGCCUCUCAUUUCCUAUAAUGAUAAUCCUUCAUGAAAAUGAAAUAAGAAUUUCUACAAAGUUUGUGGACACUUUUGGCAAAACAUCCAGUAACAAACUGCCCAUUAAUGACCAAACUUCUUUUGGCACUUUCCCAGAAAACCUUAUCUUGCAGGUUACUGUAAUUAGAACUGAUUUUAGAGGGAAAUAAAAUUACAAGCUGCA
Molecule: long non-coding RNA, 1238 nt
Filed under: Cyanistes caeruleus (blue tit)
Lineage: Eukaryota; Metazoa; Chordata; Aves; Passeriformes; Paridae
Description: lncRNA (ENSCCEG00000017964.1)
Source: RNAcentral